RNAcentral lists this long non-coding RNA (316 nucleotides) under Meriones unguiculatus (Mongolian gerbil). RNAcentral's name for it is "lncRNA (ENSMUGG00000020740.1)". The record is from RNAcentral. Lineage: Eukaryota; Metazoa; Chordata; Mammalia; Rodentia; Muridae.
GAUAGAGAUAAGAAAGGCCAAUGCCCUUCAUAUCCACUGACAAAGCCAGAUAUAUUAAGGAGAAGCUCAGCUCAGCACUCAGCCAAGGCCCAUUCUGGCAAGAUGAAUCCCACCAGCUUCUUCCUCCUUACAAUGCUCCUCGUUCUGGUGACAGAAACAGCAGCAAGGAGACCCCGUGAAAAAUUCUCACAAGAGUCUGAAGAGAGUUCUUCUAGUGCAGCCUCUGAAGUUACUUCAUCGGGGGAAAGCGGGGGAUCAAGUUCUUCCCAGGACGACAACAGCCCAAGUGACAAGUCAGGGGGUUCCUCCUUUAAAA